GGGACUCAUGAUAGAGGGACUGUAUCAUAUAUUAACUGCACCUAGAGAUUCAUCACUUUUUAUUCUACUGGAUUGCCACUACAUACUGCUAGGUGUCACUGGUGGAUUAUGAGAUCCAUGAGCAUCAUCUUGAUGAUCAAUGAUCCUUGAUGGGUAGAGUUGGAAUGGUUCCAAUCUAUUGAUAGGAGUUUUAAUGAUAUUGUGAUAGAGAUCACAAGAUAUAUCACUACGAGAUAAAA
Molecule: long non-coding RNA, 239 nt
Filed under: Elaeis guineensis (African oil palm)
Lineage: Eukaryota; Viridiplantae; Streptophyta; Magnoliopsida; Arecales; Arecaceae
Description: long non-coding RNA (EGUI_LNC063461)
Source: RNAcentral